CAACUUCCACCUGGCUUACCUCCNUCAGUUAUGCGUCAUGACUUGUAUCGUCAUGAGCGUAUUGUGGGUUUCCUGUGUUGCAUACCUAAUAAUGGAAUCGUUUUGGUUGAUUGAAGUCCCUUUUCAUCACGUGUUGCCUUUGCGACGCAUGAUGAACCUCGAAGCGGUCUCUAUGUUCCACCACGUUGAUGCUAGUGUCUUUAUGUUGUGGCCCAUUGAGUGUUGCUUGGUUUCGUGGAUACAGAACAUGAUUUGGGCAUAGGGUCACCUGUGACUCUUGUUUUGUCCUUUAUCAGUGUUCUCAAUAACGACGGUUCAUGCGCGCCUAGGCUCGUACCUGCGCGAUGUUCUUUGUCGAAGAGGAAUGCUACCUGGUUGAUCCUGCCAGUAGUCAUAUGCUUGUCUCAAAGAUUAAGCCAUGCAUGUGUAAGU
This 432-nucleotide unclassified non-coding RNA is filed under the name Senecio banksii. RNAcentral's name for it is "partial contains external transcribed spacer and 18S ribosomal RNA". The stretch from base 369 to 432 matches the Rfam family "Eukaryotic small subunit ribosomal RNA", at positions 1 to 64 of the family's 1831-position model. The record is from RNAcentral. Lineage: Eukaryota; Viridiplantae; Streptophyta; Magnoliopsida; Asterales; Asteraceae.